GGAUGAUGUGGAUUAAUUCGAUGCAACGCGAAAAACCUUACCUACCCUUGACUUGCCACUCNCGAAGCAGAGAUGCAUCAGGUGCCCGAAAGGGAAAGUGGACACAGGUGCUGCAUGGCUGUCGUCAGCUCGUGUCGUGAGAUGUUGGGUUAAGUCCCGCAACGAGCGCAACCCUUGUCUUUNGUUGCUACGCAAGAGCACUCUAGAGAGACUGCCNGUGACAAACCGGAGGAAGGUGGGGAUGACGUCAAGUCCUCAUGGCCCUUAUGGGUAGGGCUUCACACGUCAUACAAUGGUGCG
RNAcentral lists this ribosomal RNA (300 nucleotides) under Cupriavidus basilensis. RNAcentral describes it as "bacterial SSU rRNA". It matches the Rfam family "Bacterial small subunit ribosomal RNA", at positions 934 to 1237 of the family's 1533-position model. Lineage: Bacteria; Pseudomonadati; Pseudomonadota; Betaproteobacteria; Burkholderiales; Burkholderiaceae. The record is from RNAcentral.